Molecule: ribosomal RNA, 442 nt
Filed under: uncultured bacterium
Lineage: Bacteria
Description: partial 16S ribosomal RNA
Rfam family: Bacterial small subunit ribosomal RNA
Source: RNAcentral
CCUACGGGUGGCAGCAGUGGGGGAUAUUGCACAAUGGGGGAAACCCUUAUGCAGCGACGCCGGGUGGGCGAAGAAGUAUUUCGGUAUGUAAAGCCCUAUCAGCAGGGACGAAGAAAUUACGGUACCUGAGUAAGAAGCACCGGCUAAAUACGUUCCAGCAGCCGGGGUAAUACGUAGGGUGCAAGCGUUAUCCGGAUGUACGGGGUGGAAAGGGAGCGAAGGCGGGAAGGAAAGCCUGAUGUGAAAGCCCACGGCCCAACCGCGGGACUGCAUUGGGAACUACCGGGCUGGAGUGCAGGAGAGGUAGGCGGAAUUCCUAGUGUAGCGGUGGAAUGCGUAGAUAUUAGGAGGAACACCAGUGGCGAAGGCGGCCUACUGGACGGUGACUGACGCUGAGGCUCGAAAGCGUGGGGAGCAAACAGGAUUAGAUACCCUAGUAGUC